This 97-nucleotide ribosomal RNA is filed under the name Diaporthe helianthi. RNAcentral describes it as "5.8S ribosomal RNA". It matches the Rfam family "5.8S ribosomal RNA", at positions 59 to 154 of the family's 154-position model. Rfam says of the family: 5.8S ribosomal RNA (5.8S rRNA) is a component of the large subunit of the eukaryotic ribosome. Lineage: Eukaryota; Fungi; Ascomycota; Sordariomycetes; Diaporthales; Diaporthaceae. The record is from RNAcentral.
UAAGUAAUGUGAAUUGCAGAAUUCAGUGAAUCAUCGAAUCUUUGAACGCACAUUGCGCCCUCUGGUAUUCCGGAGGGCAUGCCUGUUCGAGCGUCAU